GACAGAAUUUCAUGAGAAGCCAGUAUCAUAUUCUAGUCUUGCAACCGGAAACUAUGCGUAAAGUGCGUAAACUUAAGAACAACAUUCUACAUGUAUAUAUGCAAUAUAUGUUGCCACAAUCCACUUAAGGAGCUAAGAUCAACUAUAAAUUGGAACUACAUGUAUAUGCUUUAGUGCUGUCAAAAUCCUUUAAAAAAUCAAAUCAAAAGGACCUACUUCACCUAUAUAUAUAGCUACCUGUCCCAAUGAUGAAUACAGAUCAUAUAUAUGAGUCUACUCUUAUAAAUAAAACAGUGAAGGAGAAUAAAAAUAAAGAAAAUAUAGAGCUGAUCAGCUAAUGAUUGUACAUGUUCAU
Molecule: long non-coding RNA, 355 nt
Filed under: Mytilus galloprovincialis (Mediterranean mussel)
Lineage: Eukaryota; Metazoa; Mollusca; Bivalvia; Mytilida; Mytilidae
Source: RNAcentral